UUUUUUUUUUUUUUUAAUUUUUGGUGAUAAUGACUUCUACCUCCUGGUACAGUGAGGGUACCUUUCUCAUGGGAGAUUUAGUUGCUGUUUCCAGGGGGACAAAGGGGGGUUUCUUUGCACUAACUGCUUCUUAAGUAAUUUUAAAGCAAUCAAUUUACUAAAAUAGCAUAUUUUGUGGUGGCGUAUCUCACUACCUUUCAUCUUCAUAGAUGAAAUCUUAGUAUCCUAGAAUAUUCCACUGUCUUAACCAUUGUGUAUCCUCAUUUGAAUACAAUCAGCCUGCCUUCAAUACAACACCUUCAUCUCCAAAUCGUUACUGCAUCUUAGAUGUUCACAUGUGGCCAUUUAUGAUUAUCAUUAAUUAAAUGCCCAUGGAUUUCUGUAAAUCACCGAAUGCUUCAUUCACUAUGAUUCAUUUGAAACAUUUUCAUCAUAAUCACUUCAUUAACUAAGCUUGUACAAUUGUGAUUUUUUUCAUUUGUUUCUUAGAAGUGUUUACUGACUCAUUGCAGAUUAAUAUGUAUGAAAAUGCUUCAUCAAAUGUUGAAUUGAAGACAGUCCUUUUCAAUAAGAAAUUGGCCUUUUCUAUUUGUUGCUAGAUAUUUAACAAAAGUAUUAUCAUCAAGCUAUUUAUCUGUCUCCAUAGACCUGCGCUAUUAAAUACUUAUGAUUGGCAAAGUGAACUUCAAUACACCUGAGCUCAGACACUGUUUUUUGUGGUGUAUUUUUUAUGGCAUUUGGAUUAUUAUAUAACUUUUUAAGACCUCAGAUUUCUUUACUUAUAUGUGGGAUAUAAAUGUGAGUAAUGUUUAAGCUUAUAGUGAAUAUUAGAUGAAAUAAUGGAUAUAAAGCACUUUCCCCAUUCCUGUCACAUAUGUCUUCUACAAAUAUGUUAUUCCUUUUUUAUUUUUACUACGGCUCCUGCUGUCACUGCUGCUGCUGUUGCUGCUUCUUCUGUUAUUACUACUACUAACAUUUACUAAAAUACACUUUCAAAUAAAUUUUUGAUGCUAAUUUGUUUUAUAUCAGUCGUGAUACUGUGCCAGGCUAAUGUAAUUAAAGGCAAUAAAAAUAUAAAUAUGAAGAAAAGAAUGAUCAACAUGUGUAACUACUAAAGGAAUAAUAAAGAACAGAGCAUCUAAAAAUCUAACCAGGAAUAUAAUAGAACUCAAUAAUAAUAUAUAAUCAAGGUAAAAUAAAAUUUAGUACAGGAUAAAAACUGAAUAAUAUGUAAUAAACAGGGUAAAAUAUAAGUAAAAAAAGCAGAUAGAGCUACUAACAAGCAAAUGGCAAAGUGAUAGACUAACGCCUCUUAUGUCAUGCUUUUACUAAAAGAAGUGCCCUGUUAAGUAAAAAAUAAAAACUGGACUUAUGUAAGGAGAGGCUUCACUGGGAAAGACUAUUACACUUGAGAGAGGAUAAAGAUUGCCAGUAAGGAGAUGCUGAAAGAAAAAGUCAGGUAAGUCUCAGGGAAGGGGUGGGUCAGCAGACUUUUUAUGGACAGAGGCCUUGGGAGGGUGGCUGUGUCAAGAAGGGGGAUACUAAAACCUGUUAGAAAGAAGGCCCUGACACCUAACAAACUGUCAGAUGUUCUGAUAAGAGGAAAUUUAAAGCAGCAAAUGUUCCUUUGUAAUUAAGCACAAAGAAUGGAGGUGGGAAACUCUGGGCAAAGUUAAAAGCUGGGGAAUUUAUAUAAAGGUCAGGAUGUAAAUGUCCUGGUUAAACCAUCCUACGGAUAUGUCAAAAACAAAGUUUGAUCAGCCAUGUCAGCUCUAAACAAUACAAAUAAAGAACAAUGUCUGCAAUCUUUUUGUGAAAAAAAAAAAAAAGAUGAAAUGUGUGGUCUUAAGAGGACAAAACUUCAUAUAAGGAAACAGAAACUUUGUAUGUAAAAGAAUGCAAAAGUAAAUAUUAUGCACAUACUGAAAAAUCAAAAGUGGUGUGGGUAUAUUAACAUAAAAGUUAAACUUGAAGGCAAGAAAUUUUAUAAGAGAUAAAGAGUAAUCAUUUGCAUUGAUGGAGGAAGUUAUAAUUUCAAAAGGAUAUACAAUUUAUUAUAUAGCUCUAUCUCAUAAAGCUAGAGAAAUCACAAAUCAUACAUCAUACUCAAAGAUAUUAAUGUAUUUUCUCAAUAACCAAUAGAUCAAACUGUAUCAUCAAUGAUAUAGAAGAUUUGAAUAAAAAAAUAUUAGCUCGGGGAGUUCCCUUCGUGGCGCAGUGGUUAACAAAUCUAAGAACCAUGAGGUUGCGGGUUCGGUCCCUGGUCUUGCUCAGUGGGUUAAGGAUCCAGUGUUGCUGUGAGCUGUGGUGUAGGUUGCAGACACGGCUGGGAUCCCUCAUUGCUGUGGCUCUGGCGUAGGCCGGUGGCUAUAGCUCUGAUUCAACCCCUAGCCUGGGAACCUCCAUAUGCCGCGAAAGCGGCCCAAGAAAUGGCAAAAAGACAAAAAAAAAAAAAAAAAAAAAAAAAAAUUAGCUCACUUGAAAUAGUUGGCAUAUCCAACAAUUGCUGUAAUUCAUGCCUUUAAAUUACACAUAGAACAGUGAUUAAAAUUGAUAACAUUAUGGUGUAGAAACAUUCAAUAAGUUCCAAAGGCUUGAAAUAAUAUAGAACAAUUUCCUUCAACACAUUAGGGCUCAGUAAUGUUAAAGCAAUUAGAAAAUGGCUAGAAAUUAAGCAGUACAUCAGUAAAUAUUCCAUGGAUUAAAGAAAAUAGUAAUUACAGUAGCUUUAAAAAUCUCUUGACUUGAAUGAUAAUGAAAGUAUAAUAUCUCAAAACUUGAGGACUGUGAUUCAUUACUGUAUAGAGGGAAAUUUAUGGUCUCAAAUGCUUUUAUAAGAAGGGGACAAACAAUAUAAAUCAAUGAUCUACACUGGAGGUUUCAGCUCUGACAUUUAAAUGGAUUGAAAAUUGUCACUCCCACUCUUAGAAAAAAAAAUGAACAAACUGAAAAUCAGUGACUUAUCUUGGACAAAUCAGAGAGCUAAACUUGCAGGACAAACUAUCAACCUGAAAAUUGGAGAGACAGGUAAAUGUAGAGCUAUAGCCAAAACUAGCUUAGAUCAGAUUUUGAAACCAUAAACUGAUAAAAAACUUUAAAUGGUAGUUUUGAUAAAUUGCUAGAGUCUGAGUGUUGUACCAGCUUAAGGGUGAGAAAUGUCUGCUGGGCACAGUCUUGAGGAAGGGGAUUCUUUUGUGUAUUUUGCGUCAAGGACACAUUAUUUUAGUAUGGCAAAGAGCAAAAUAAGAGUCCCUUAUGACCCUGGCAACGGGACGAGAACUAUGCCAGGAGCAUUCAUCAACAAAAACCUACUUUCCAAGGCAUAAGAGCCAUAUCCAAUUUGGUGGAAUAUUAUUAUUUGAAAAUCAGUCCAAGUAUACAACCAUAAAAACAGACUAAAAAAGAAAAGUUCUAUUAGUUGAUAUUGAGAAAUCAUUUGACAAAAUCCAAGACAAAUUGAUGAUAAGAACUCUCAGGAAUGAAUAGACUCUCACAAAUUGAUUUUAAAAAAUCUAAACAAAACAAAGUACUAUAGGUAGCAUUAUAAUAGAUGGUCAGAAACUAGAACUUUCCCAUUAAGAUGGGUAAAAAGCAAUGCCCUUUUUCACUGACACUGUUAAAAAUCAUACUGGAAAUACUAGAUAUUACAAUAAGACAGGAAAAUAAAAUAAAAAUUAAACUAUCUUUGUUCACAGAUGCAAUGAUUGUUCAUGUAGACUAUCUUAAAGAAAUACUGUGUAAUACCACCUACACUGUAACAAAACAAAAUAUUUAUAGCAUGGUUGCAUGAUAUAAAAUUAAUAUAUAAAAAUAAAUUUCUUUUUGUAUAUACCAACAAUGAGUAACAGGAAUUAUAAGUUAAAAAUGAAUAUAUUACAAUGGCACCAAAAGAGAAAUUAAUAGGUAUAAUUCUAACAAAUUAUUUAUUAAGAAAAUUAGAAAAUUCUGAUGAAAUAAAUUAAGGAAUGUCUAAAUAGUUGGAAAGAUACCCCAUGUCCAGAGUUCCCAUUGUGGUUCACUAGUUAACAAACCCACCUAAUAUCCAUGAGGAUGCACGUUCAAUCCCUGGCCUUGCUUAGUGAGUUAAGGAUCUGUCAUUGCUAUGAGCAGUGGUGUAGUUUGCAGAUGCAGCUAAGAUCCUGUGAUGCUGUGGCUCUGGUGUAGGCUGGUGGCUGAAGCUGCAAUUGGACCCUUAGCCUGGGAACCUCCAUAUACCAUGGGUGUAGCCCUAAAAAAAAAAAUCCCAUGUCCAUGUACUAGAAGACUCAAUAUUGUUAAUAUUGUUGAAAUGUUAUUUCUUCCUAUUUUCAUCUGUAGAUUGGUGCAAUCUCAAUAUCUUAAUAAGGUUCUUUGACAACGUUAUUCUGAAAUAUUUAUGUAGAGGCACAAAGUGAUAAUAGCAAAAACAGUAAUGAAGACGAAGAUCAAAGUUGAAGGACUUAACACUACUCAAUUUCAAGACUUAGCCUAAAGCUGUAUUAAUAUUGACAGUAAGGUCUUGGUGAAAAACUAGGCACACAGUUUGAUGGAAAAUAAAACAGAGUUACAAAAUAGACUCAAACAUUUAUCACCAACAAAUAUCUGACAGAGGAGCCAAGGCAAAAAUAAUUUUUUUUCAACAAGUGGUGAUGGAACAAUUUGCACCCGUAUAGGAAGGAAAUUAACCUAGAAACAGGUCUUUUAUCUUUCACAAAAAUUAACUCAAAAUUAAUCAUAGACUUCCCAAAUAUAAAACUCAAAUCCAUUAAACUUCUGGAAGAAAACAUAAAGAGAAUUUUGUGUGGCCUUGGAUUUGGUGAUGAUAUUCUAGGUACAACAUCAAAAGCAUGAUCUAUGGAAGAAAAAAAACUGAUAGACCAGAUUUUAUUAAAAUUAAAAUAUUUUGUUCUGUGAAAGACACUAUUAUGAGAAUAAAGACAAGCCAUAGACUGGGAGAAAACAUUUUUCAAAAAAUAUAUUUGAUAAAGAAUUUGUAUCCAAGAAAACCCUUUAACUCGAGUAAGUAAACAAACAGCUCGAUUUAAAGUUGGAAAAAAACCUAAAAAAACACUUUAUCAAAGAAGAUAUAUUGAUGGAAAAUAAGCAUAUGAAAACCUGCUUACAUGUUUCAUCAUUAGGCAAUUUGAAUGAAAAUACCAGCAAUUAUUUUCAAAACCUAUUGCACUGGCUAAAAUUCAAAAAUUGACAAUACCAUUGCUGGCAUGGAUAUAGAAAACAGUAAACUCAUUAUUGCUGCGGGAAAUGUAAGUAGUACAGAUACUUUACAAGGUAAUUUGAAAAUCAAUAAAAGGUAAACACAUGCAUAAUCUUACCAUAUUAUUCAGUGCUUCUCCCUCUAGGUAUUUCCCCAACUUAAAAAUAUAUACAUAAAAACCUUAACACAAAUGUUUAGAGAAGCUUUACUCAUAAUCACCAAAAAACUAACUGGAAGCAAUAAAAUGGCCUUCAAUGGGUGAGUUUACAAGCUGUGAUAAACCCAUACAAUAGGAUAUUCAGUGGUAAAAUUAUAUUCACUGUCAGGUUAUAAAUAUGCAUAGGUGAGUCAGUCAUUAGUACUUGCUGCUAAAAUUAGAAGAAAGGCAGUCUGAAAAGGCUGCAUUUUAUGCAAUUACAGUUGUGUGAUAUUAUGGAAGAAGAGAGAGAGAGAGUAAAAUGACCAUUGGUUGCCAUGUGUUUAGGGGGAUAAAGGGAAGAAUAACUGAAUUACAGGGGAUAUUUUAAAAUGAUGAAAUAUUCUAUAAGGUAACUGUAGUGAUGAAUACAUGAGAUUAUACAUUUAUAAAGCCCCAUGGAAAUUUACAGCACAAAGAAUAAUCCUUAACAUUUGCUAAAGGGAUAUGAAUAAAGUAAAGACUUUAAUAAUGUAUCAGUAAUGCUUCAUUAAUUGUAACAAAUUUACCUCACUAAUUACAGUACUAAAAAAUGAGAUGAACUGUGUACACAGUUUGUGUGAACUCUCUGUACUAUCCUCACAAUUUUUUUAUAAACCUAAAACUGUCAUAAUAAGUAAAUUCAUUCUAAUGAAAAACAAUAUAAACUGCCAGUGUAUGAAGCAAUGAAUAAAUAAAUAAUAGGGCAAAAAUAAUGAAGGAAAACAGUAAAACAAAAAGCACAAUUCAGUAAUUUAGCAGAAAUAUAGUGGAGAAAGUUAACAGUAUAAAAGAUGGUUUUUGAAAAUAGAGUAGCAAAAUAGGAAGAAAAUCACAGAAAGACAACUAAGAGAGGGAAAACCCAGGCUACCAAUAUUAUGAAUAAAAAAUAAAACAGUACUUCAUAUUCACAGAUAUAGAAAGAAUAAAUUGAUACUGUUUGAUACACAUAAGUUGAUAAUAACUUAGCAAUUAAUUUUUUUCAAAAAUGUUUUAUGUGAACAAAUUCCUUCAGAAAGCACAGUAUAAAAAAUCCUAGAAGAGAAGUAAAAAUGAAUGUUUUCUCGAACAUUACUCCAAGUCUGGUUGACUUCAUAAAUAUAUUUUUCUCAAACAUUUAAGGAAGAA
This 6497-nucleotide long non-coding RNA is filed under the name Sus scrofa (pig). Its description in RNAcentral is "lncRNA (ENSSSCG00030056253.1)". The record is from RNAcentral. Lineage: Eukaryota; Metazoa; Chordata; Mammalia; Artiodactyla; Suidae.